UGUUCCAUUGGGGACCCCUGCCAGUCCCAGACUCUUCCAGCAGUCAGGCAUUGGCCAAGGGCAGAGCUUGUAUCACUCCUGUGUCCCUGCCCCCUGCCCCUCAACAGGCCAGGAGAGGCUCUUGCCCCAGGAACCCUCUCUCUCCUGUCUCUCCUUCCUUUGUGUGCCUUUUCUCUUCCUCCCUGGGAAGAGGCCACAGGAGGGGGUGUCUGAAGCACAAGGAACUCCUUCAGGAAAAGAAGCUUUGACUUGGAGCUGGGCCACCUGGACUUGUUCGGUCUCUGACUUGCUGUGCAGUCCCUUGCGCUCUCUGGUCUUCCAUUUCCCAUCACAGGUAGGUAGUAUCCCUUGUCUGAAAUGCUCAGAAUCAGAAAUAGUUCCAAUUUGGGAACAUUUGCACAGACUUCACCAGUUGAACAUCCCUAAUCUCGAAAUCCAGAAUGCUCCAGAAUUUGAAAUCAAUUGAGCAUAUGUUGGCACUCAAAAUUUUCAGAUUUGGGAUUUCUGGAUUAGGGAGCUCAAGUCGGAUCACCUGUACUGCAUAUUUGAUCAUCAUGUGCCCAACAGAGUUGCUCCUUGGAAAAUGAGAGUCCCAGGUGCUUGCCCCCACCCCACAUCAACCUGCCCCCAGCCCCUUGCAGCCUCUUUAAUCCCCUCAGAUCUGCCUGCCUUGAAUUCCCCUGUGGGCCGCUGAGCUGGGGUCUGAAUGGGAAGCAGGGAGCUCAGGGCUGUGGGAAGCAGGCAGGGGCUGGGCCUGUCGCCUGCCGAGGGAGGGGGCUGUGGGCCCCCAGGCCAUUCAUCGCUAAGC
This 808-nucleotide long non-coding RNA is filed under the name Marmota monax (woodchuck). The record is from RNAcentral. Lineage: Eukaryota; Metazoa; Chordata; Mammalia; Rodentia; Sciuridae.